UUUGAAAUCUGGCCUUCGGGUCCGAGUUGUAAUUUGUAGAGGAUGCUUUUGGUGCGGUACCUUCCGAGUUCCUUGGAACAGGACGCCUUAGAGGGUGAGAGCCCCGUACGGUUGGACACCAAGCCUCUGUAAAGCUCCUUCGACGAGUCGAGUAGUUUGGGAAUGCUGCUCUAAAUGGGAGGUAAAUUUCUUCUAAAGCUAAAUACCGGCCAGAGACCGAUAGCGCACAAGUAGAGUGAUCGAAAGAUGAAAAGUACUUUGAAAAGAGGGUUAAAUAGCACGUGAAAUUGUUGAAAGGGAAGCGUUUAUGACCAGACCUUUGCCUGGCGGAUCAUCCGGUGUUCUUCACCGGUGCACUUCGCCCGGCUUAGGCCAGCAUCGAUUUUCGUUAGGGGACAAAGACCGCGGGAACGUGGCUCCCUCCGGGGAGUGUUAUAGCCCGCGGUGCAAUACCCUUGCGGGGAUCGAGGUUCGCGCUCUGCAAGGAUGCUGGCAUAAUGGUCAUCAACGACCCGUCUUGAAACACGGACCAAGGAGUCGAACAUUUAUGCGAGUGUUUGGGUGUCAAACCCUCACGCGUAAUGAAAGUGAACGGAGGUGAGAGCCCUCUCGGGGGUGCAUCAUCGACCGAUCCUGAUGUCUUCGGAUGGAUUUGAGUAAGAGCAUAACUGUUCGGACCC
This 680-nucleotide ribosomal RNA is filed under the name Monosporascus semiaridus. Its description in RNAcentral is "partial large subunit ribosomal RNA". It matches the Rfam family "Eukaryotic large subunit ribosomal RNA", at positions 114 to 817 of the family's 3401-position model. Lineage: Eukaryota; Fungi; Ascomycota; Sordariomycetes; Xylariales. The record is from RNAcentral.